Molecule: ribosomal RNA, 490 nt
Filed under: uncultured bacterium
Lineage: Bacteria
Description: partial 16S ribosomal RNA
Rfam family: Bacterial small subunit ribosomal RNA
Source: RNAcentral
AGUGAACGCUGGCGGUAGGCCUAACACAUGCAAGUCGAACGGCAGCACAGGAGAGCUUGCUCUCUGGGUGGCGAGUGGCGGACGGGUGAGGAAUACAUCGGAAUCUACCUUUUCGUGGGGGAUAACGUAGGGAAACUUACGCUAAUACCGCAUACGACCUUCGGGUGAAAGCAGGGGACCUUCGGGCCUUGCGCGGAUAGAUGAGCCGAUGUCGGAUUAGCUAGUUGGCGAGGUAAAGGCCCACCAAGGCGACGAUCCGUAGCUGGUCUGAGAGGAUGAUCAGCCACACUGGAACUGAGACACGGUCCAGACUCCUACGGGAGGCAGCAGUGGGGAAUAUUGGACAAAGGGCGCAAGCCUGAUCCAGCCAUACCGCGUGGGUGAAGAAGGCCUUCGGGUUGUAAAGCCCUUUUGUUGGGAAAGAAAAGCAGUCGGUUAAUACCCGGUUGUUCUGACGGUACCCAAAGAAUAAGCACCGGCUAACUUCGUG